Molecule: long non-coding RNA, 213 nt
Filed under: Homo sapiens (human)
Lineage: Eukaryota; Metazoa; Chordata; Mammalia; Primates; Hominidae
Description: non-protein coding lnc-ADAMTSL4-7:8
Source: RNAcentral
ACUCCAGCCCACCGCGUCCGAGAGACUUAGCAGGGCGUCAAACUGGAGAGCGGAAGGAUGGAACCUUUUAUUCUCAGUCUGCAGGUGUACCCAGCAGCUCCGAAGAGACAGCGACCAUCGAGAACAAGCCAUGAUGAUGAUGGUGGUUUGUCGAAAAGGAAAUGGGGAAAUGUGGGGAAAAGAGAGAUCAGACUGUUACUGUGUCUGUGUAGA